UUGUUGGAUAUUAGCCAACAACCUCUCUCCUCCUCGCUGAAAGUGCUUUACAACCCGAAGGCCUUCUUCACACACGCGGCAUGGCUGCAUCAGGGUUUCCCCCAUUGUGCAAUAUUCCCCACUGCUGCCUCCCGUAGGAGUCUGGACCGUGUCUCAGUUCCAGUGUGGCUGAUCAUCCUCUCAGACCAGCUAGGGAUCGUCGCCUUGGUGAGCCAUUACCUCACCAACUAGCUAAUCCCACCUGGGCAUAUCCAAUCGCGCAAGGCCCGAAGGUCCCCUGCUUUCCCCCGUAGG
RNAcentral lists this ribosomal RNA (294 nucleotides) under Aeromonas hydrophila. RNAcentral's name for it is "partial 16S rRNA". Lineage: Bacteria; Pseudomonadati; Pseudomonadota; Gammaproteobacteria; Aeromonadales; Aeromonadaceae. The record is from RNAcentral.